GCCCCGAUCGUCUAGCCCGGUCAAGGACGCUACCUUCUCACGGUAGCGACGGGGGUUCGAAUCCCCCUCGGGGCA
Molecule: transfer RNA, 75 nt
Filed under: Candidatus Diapherotrites archaeon CG11_big_fil_rev_8_21_14_0_20_37_9
Lineage: Archaea; Nanobdellati; Candidatus Iainarchaeota
Description: tRNA-Glu
Rfam family: tRNA
About the family: Transfer RNA (tRNA) molecules are approximately 80 nucleotides in length.
Source: RNAcentral